GCCACCGGGCGUGGGGGGUGUCGGGGCCUGCAAGCUCGGUCCCGGCAAGGGCUCUCGCAAGAAGAGCAAAUCUCCAAAAUGAUGGAGCUGGCCAGAGAGAAACAGGCGGCAGAGCUGAAGGCCCUGAAGGAGACGUCGGAGAAGUACGACUGCCUCCCUCCCACACCUGCCUCGCCUCCCAGCAAGGGCUCAGCCGCACAAAACAGCUCCUUCAUGCCUGUCUCUCUGCAGCGACACCAAAGAGAUGAAGAAAAAGCUGGAGACAAAGAGACUGGAGCGGAUCCAGGGCAUGACCAAAGUCACCACAGACAAGAUGGCCCAGGAGAGGUUGAAGAGAGAGAUUAACAACUCCCACAUCCAGGAAGUAGUGCAGGUGAUCAAGCAGAUGACGGAGAACUUGGAGAGGCACCAGGAGAAGCUGGAGGAGAAGCAGGCGGCUUGCCUGGAACAGAUACGGGAGAUGGAAAAGCAGGAAAAAGGAGCCCCAGCCUUCUGAGGCUGUGGGAACCUGUGGCUGCCUUGGACGCUGCAGCCCCCUCCUCA
RNAcentral lists this small RNA (543 nucleotides) under Pan troglodytes (chimpanzee). RNAcentral describes it as "retained intron". Lineage: Eukaryota; Metazoa; Chordata; Mammalia; Primates; Hominidae. The record is from RNAcentral.